UCCCCCCACUAGGGAACCUGCGGAGGGAUCAUUGCUGGAAGCGCCGCA
RNAcentral lists this ribosomal RNA (48 nucleotides) under Cytospora chrysosperma. RNAcentral's name for it is "Valsa sordida partial 18S ribosomal RNA". Lineage: Eukaryota; Fungi; Ascomycota; Sordariomycetes; Diaporthales; Cytosporaceae. The record is from RNAcentral.